Molecule: ribosomal RNA, 560 nt
Filed under: uncultured bacterium
Lineage: Bacteria
Description: bacterial SSU rRNA
Rfam family: Bacterial small subunit ribosomal RNA
Source: RNAcentral
UUGGACAUGGGCGCAAGCCUGNCCAGCAAUACCGCGUGUGUGAAGAAGGCCCUAGGGUUGUAAAGCACUUUCAAUUGGGAGGAAAACCUGCCGGUUAAUACCCGGUAGCUUGACAUUACCUAUAGAAGAAGCACCGGCUAACUCCGUGCCAGCAGCCGCGGUAAUACGGAGGGUGCGAGCGUUAAUCGGAAUUACUNGGGCGUAAAGCGUGCGUAGGCGGUUCGUUAAGUCAGAUGUGAAAGCCCCGGGCUUAACCUGGGGACGGCAUUUGAAACUGGCGGACUGGAGUUGAGUAGAGGGGAGUGGAAUUUCAGGUGUAGCGGUGAAAUGCGUAGAUAUCUGAAGGAACACCAGUGGCGAAGGCGACUCCCUGGACUCAAACUGACGCUGAGGUACGAAAGCGUGGGUAGCAAACAGGAUUAGAUACCCUGGUAGUCCACGCUGUAAACGAUGUCAACUAGCCGUUGGUCCUAUUUACAGGAUUAGUGGCGCAGCUAACGCAUUAAGUUGACCGCCUGGGGAGUACGGCCGCAAGGUUAAAACUCAAAAAAAUUGACGGA